AGUGAACGCUGGCGGUAGGCCUAACACAUGCAAGUCGAACGGCAGCACAGUAAGAGCUUGCUCUUACGGGUGGCGAGUGGCGGACGGGUGAGGAAUACAUCGGAAUCUACUUUUUCGUGGGGGAUAACGUAGGGAAACUUACGCUAAUACCGCAUACGACCUACGGGUGAAAGCAGGGGAUCUUCUGACCUUGCGCGAUUGAAUGAGCCGAUGUCGGAUUAGCUAGUUGGGGGGGUAAAGGCCCACCAAGGCGACGAUCCGUAGCUGGUCUGAGAGGAUGAUCAGCCACACUGGAACUGAGACACGGUCCAGACUCCUACGGGAGGCAGCAGUGGGGAAUAUUGGACAAUGGGCGCAAGCCUGAUCCAGCCAUACCGCGUGGGUGAAGAAGGCCUUCGGGUUGUAAAGCCCUUUUGUUGGGAAAGAAAAGCAGCAGGUUAAUACCCCGCUGUUCUGACGGUACCCAAAGAAUAAGCACCGGCUAACUUCGUG
This 492-nucleotide ribosomal RNA is filed under the name uncultured bacterium. Its description in RNAcentral is "partial 16S ribosomal RNA". It matches the Rfam family "Bacterial small subunit ribosomal RNA", at positions 29 to 507 of the family's 1533-position model. The record is from RNAcentral.